GGGGUUCCGGAAAGCUUUCAGCUUUAAGCCAGUUAUUAAAACCCCUUUUGAUUUGUUAAAACAUCUUGCGGUCUGGCAACUGCAAAAGUUCAACAAGAAAUCAAAAG
Molecule: small RNA, 107 nt
Filed under: Salmonella enterica subsp. enterica serovar Mbandaka
Lineage: Bacteria; Pseudomonadati; Pseudomonadota; Gammaproteobacteria; Enterobacterales; Enterobacteriaceae
Description: Hfq binding sRNA
Rfam family: STnc490 Hfq binding RNA
Source: RNAcentral